RNAcentral lists this ribosomal RNA (427 nucleotides) under uncultured bacterium. RNAcentral's name for it is "partial 16S ribosomal RNA". It matches the Rfam family "Bacterial small subunit ribosomal RNA", at positions 355 to 774 of the family's 1533-position model. The record is from RNAcentral.
UGGGGAAUAUUGGACAAUGGGCGAAAGCCUGAUCCAGCCAUGCCGCGUGUGUGAAGAAGGUCUUCGGAUUGUAAAGCACUUUAAGUUGGGAGGAAGGGCAUUAACCUAAUACGUUAGUGUUUUGACGUUACCGACAGAAUAAGCACCGGCUAACUCUGUGCCAGCAGCCGCGGUAAUACAGAGGGUGCAAGCGUUAAUCGGAAUUACUGGGCGUAAAGCGCGCGUAGGUGGUAUGUUAAGUUGGAUGUGAAAGCCCCGGGCUCAACCUGGGAACUGCAUUCAAAACUGACUGACUAGAGUAUGGUAGAGGGUGGUGGAAUUUCCUGUGUAGCGGUGAAAUGCGUAGAUAUAGGAAGGAACACCAGUGGCGAAGGCGACCACCUGGACUAAUACUGACACUGAGGUGCGAAAGCGUGGGGAGCAAACA